This 460-nucleotide ribosomal RNA is filed under the name uncultured bacterium. Its description in RNAcentral is "partial 16S ribosomal RNA". It matches the Rfam family "Bacterial small subunit ribosomal RNA", at positions 338 to 795 of the family's 1533-position model. The record is from RNAcentral.
CCUACGGGAGGCAGCAGUGAGGAAUAUUGGUCAAUGGACGAGAGUCUGAACCAGCCAAGUAGCGUGAAGGAUGACUGCCCUAUGGGUUGUAAACUUCUUUUAUAUGGGAAUAAAAUGUUCCACGUGUGGGAUUUUGUAUGUACCAUAUGAAUAAGGAUCGGCUAACUCCGUGCCAGCAGCCGCGGUAAUACGGAGGAUCCGAGCGUUAUCCGGAUUUAUUGGGUUUAAAGGGAGCGUAGGUGGAUUGUUAAGUCAGUUGUGAAAGUUUGCGGCUCAACCGUAAAAUUGCAGUUGAAACGGGCAGUCUGGAGUACAGUAGAGGGGGGCGGAAGGAGUGGGGUAGCGGUGAAAUGCGGAGAUAGCACGAAGAACGCCGAGUGCGAAGGCAGCUCACUGGACUGCAACUGACACGGAGGCGAGAAAGUGGGGGUAGCAAACAGGAUUAGAUACCCGAGUAGUC